This 295-nucleotide ribosomal RNA is filed under the name Faecalibacillus sp. H12. RNAcentral's name for it is "partial 16S ribosomal RNA". It matches the Rfam family "Bacterial small subunit ribosomal RNA", at positions 1 to 302 of the family's 1533-position model. Lineage: Bacteria; Bacillati; Bacillota; Erysipelotrichia; Erysipelotrichales; Coprobacillaceae. The record is from RNAcentral.
AAUGGAGAGUUUGAUCCUGGCUCAGGAUGAACGCUGGCGGCGUGCCUAAUACAUGCAAGUCGAACGCUUCACUUCGGUGAAGAGUGGCGAACGGGUGAGUAAUACAUAAGUAACCUGGCAUCUACAGGGGGAUAACUGAUGGAAACGUCAGCUAAGACCGCAUAGGUGUAGAGAUCGCAUGAACUCUAUAUGAAAAGUGCUACGGGACUGGUAGAUGAUGGACUUAUGGCGCAUUAGCUUGUUGGUAGGGUAACGGCCUACCAAGGCGACGAUGCGUAGCCGACCUGAGAGGGUG